GCCGCGUUAACUCAGUUGGCAGAGUGUCGCUCUUGUAAAGCGAAUGUCGUCGGUUCGAUUCCGACACGCGGCUCCA
Molecule: transfer RNA, 76 nt
Filed under: Nocardioides kongjuensis
Lineage: Bacteria; Bacillati; Actinomycetota; Actinomycetes; Propionibacteriales; Nocardioidaceae
Description: tRNA-Thr
Rfam family: tRNA
About the family: Transfer RNA (tRNA) molecules are approximately 80 nucleotides in length. Their secondary structure includes four short double-helical elements and three loops (D, anti-codon, and T loops).
Source: RNAcentral